UUUUGACAAGACAUGGGAAUAUGGGAUCGUAUAUAACUUCAUGCAGCUCACUAUACAUGUAGAGAUUUCUUGAUUUUGUUCGUUUCGGUAUUUUUAUUUUUUUAUAAUAUAGAGUUGCACAUACCAUCAUAUGAACAAAUAUAAUAGUACUAUUAUUCUCUAUGCAUGCUCUUGUGUUACAUUUAUAGAAUUUACCACUUUGUCAUAUCGAAAAAGAAAGAAAAAAAACGAAAGAAAACAAAAAAGGGGGUUUUGUUGUAUGGAUCUUCAUAAGCUGAGCCAUCACAGUUUUGAAGUAAGACGUGGACAACUCCAUAGCCGCACUUUAAUGGCUAUCCAAGAGUCUCUAGAGACGUCAAUGUCCAAAAAAAUUGUUCUCAUCUAACUCUUUCCUUUGUCCUUUUUUAUUCUUCC
This 414-nucleotide long non-coding RNA is filed under the name Capsella rubella. Its description in RNAcentral is "long non-coding RNA (CRUB_LNC004878)". The record is from RNAcentral. Lineage: Eukaryota; Viridiplantae; Streptophyta; Magnoliopsida; Brassicales; Brassicaceae.